CUGAACCAGCCAAGUAGCGUGAAGGAUGACUGCCCUAUGGGUUGUAAACUUCUUUUAUACGGGAAUAAAGUUAGGCACGUGUGCCUUUUUGUAUGUACCGUAUGAAUAAGGAUCGGCUAACUCCGUGCCAGCAGCCGCGGUAAUACGGAGGAUCCGAGCGUUAUCCGGAUUUAUUGGGUUUAAAGGGAGCGUAGGCGGGUGCUUAAGUCAGUUGUGAAAGUUUGCGG
This 227-nucleotide ribosomal RNA is filed under the name uncultured Bacteroides sp. Its description in RNAcentral is "partial 16S ribosomal RNA". It matches the Rfam family "Bacterial small subunit ribosomal RNA", at positions 383 to 607 of the family's 1533-position model. Lineage: Bacteria; Pseudomonadati; Bacteroidota; Bacteroidia; Bacteroidales; Bacteroidaceae. The record is from RNAcentral.